GCCUGGGUGGCUCAGUCGGUUGAGCAACUGACUUCGGCUCGGUCAUGAUUUCACAGUUUGUGAGUUCAAGCCCCACGUCAGGCU
RNAcentral lists this transfer RNA (84 nucleotides) under Felis catus (domestic cat). It matches the Rfam family "tRNA". From Rfam's summary of the family: Transfer RNA (tRNA) molecules are approximately 80 nucleotides in length. Their secondary structure includes four short double-helical elements and three loops (D, anti-codon, and T loops). The record is from Rfam by way of RNAcentral. Lineage: Eukaryota; Metazoa; Chordata; Mammalia; Carnivora; Felidae.